GGCAUGUGCUGUCCGUGAGUGGGGGAGAGGCUCUUUCCGGUCGACGUUUUUUUUUCUGGUGAAGGUGGCGUGGCCGCGUGGUGGUUUGCUGGCCGCAGGAGGGAUGCAUUCCCAUCGUCCUAGCACCCAUGCUCCGCCGUGGGCCGUGGCCGACGUAUUUCUCGGGGCGGCGAGGUGGCGAGAUCCUCCUCAUCGGCUCCUUGCUCUCCUGCGAGACCGCCACAGCUCAUCGUAGUUGCCGCUGCGCCCAGGUCAUCUCCCCCGCAGCCAGCGCUGCCGGAUUGAUGGCCGAGUCAAGGCAGUUCCAUCAUCUGAUCUUCCUCGUGGUGCUAUGACCACAAUCAGCACACCACGUACAGCCUCACCGGAGAGACGACACUACCAUCAGAACUAGGAGUAGUAAGAGGAGCCCCCCUUGCUACAUGGAGAACAACAGUUGAAGAAGAACAUCUUAAAAUCCUCACAAGCUUCAGGGUCUUCUGCUCAUCUCUUUGUAGGUAGGUUGCAAAUAGGAUCUAUAAUCUUUGUCCACAAUUUUCAGAUGAUUUUACCUACCUCCAGUUUCAUUAUGGUUACAUUAUGGGUCACACUGUGACUGCAGCCGCCAUUGCAAGUUUGACUUGAAUUUUGGCUUCUGUAGGUAUGGACUCGAUUCUCCUCUCCAUAGGUUUCUACCUCUCUGAAUUCCUAUUCCUGUUGCCACAUAAUUACAUCCUUUAUUUUUGGGGCGGAAAUCAAUGUAUAGAUCUAUUGUUUCUCUGUACAAGCACAUGCUAUAUAUUUGUUUUUGGACUAAUUCUUCCAUUGUUUUCUUGCUAAUUUGAAAUUAUCCAACCUUUUAUAUUUUCACUUGCAUAGAUGGCUUAAUCUAGAACCUGGACCGAUGACUAUGUAUAACGCAUGCAUUGGGUCGUUUCUCCUAAGAAGAUUAAACAACCUGAACUUUUAACUUGAGCUCCAAAGAAGUUGUUGAAUGAUCUAGCAUUUUUGGGUUUUUACUAAGCUGAAAAAUGUAGCACUGUGACAAUAAUAUUCUGAACUUAAAUCUUUCAUUUUCUUACCACAUUUUUACAAUUGUGCACUUGGAUGAUGGUGACAUUAUUUCUUAUCUGAAUUCUGCACGCAUGUUUCCAAUUGAAACAGUAACUGAAAUUGAUAAGUAUGCAACAGUUUCUGCCCUGCAGCAUGGCUAAAAUGUUGUGAGUUACUACUUCAGAUAAGUAACCACCGUAUUAUUUUCUGUGUGUAAUUGACAUGUACAGAUGUUGUCCCUCCGCCUGACAACAAUCUAUAGGUAUGCAGGUACUGUCUAAUACCUACACACAAGCUUCUCUCACAGAUUGACUCCUCUGAUUGUGACUCAGCAUGUGUGUGGCCGUGAUGCAGACCUUAUCUUGGCCUGAGCUUCAAUUCCCUUAUGUGAUACGAUUGGCAGCUCUUUUCUUCUAGAUAUAUUGGUUUCUGCAGGUUCCAUUGGAUCUUGCCUUUGAGUGAUACGAUAGCUCAAUGGCAUGCUCACCAGUUGUUGUCCUGUCAAAAUGGCAAACUGGCUCAACUUUAUUUCCUAUGUGUAUUACAGAGUACUAGAUGUGAUUACUUUAUUUCUAGCACUGGCAAUUUUCUAAGCAUUAUGUUUUUUAAGACGCUGAGGUCUCCGAUGAUUAGUUAUGCUUUGUGAGAUUUAUGCGCUUCAUACAACCUAGGUAAUUCUCAUUUGAUCUUCUUAAUUUCUAACUGAAUAUAGAUAUAUACUGACAGUAAGGCCGGUGCAGUAAAUAGUUGGAUAAUUCUUUGACAUGUCGUACUCUAACGUUUGUUUAAAUCAGCAUUGGAUACUCCCAUGAUCGAUUACUCUUUGCAUAAUAAAUUAAUACAAUAAGAAGUGUAUUGGUUCUUCAGUGUUUGCAGGCAGAAAAUGAUUUAAAUAUAGACACAGUGAGCUGCAUACUGCAAUAACAGCCAAUUGCCAGACAGGAUUACAUUGAUCAAAGAAAGCACUGUUUGGAUAGAGAAAAGAUCAUGGUCAACAAUUGGUGCUUGAGGAAAUGGGUAUAUAUGGUUAUAAGGUUGCGGGAAGUUGUAUAUGACCGGAGCAAGUUGUAAUUUCUCUUCCAGAAUUAUCUAAGCUAAGAGUUUCAUUUAGCUUCAUAGUUGUGCUUUAUUUCCUGGGACAACACGCCCUUAAUGUACAUGUCAUUGUGUCCUGGAACAUUAAUUCAUAAAAAAUAGCAACUUCAAAUUAAAAUUUUAAUAUCUAAUA
This is a long non-coding RNA of Triticum aestivum (bread wheat), 2260 nucleotides long. RefSeq lists it as uncharacterized. The transcript is spliced from 2 exons. NCBI's taxonomy places the organism in Eukaryota, Viridiplantae, Streptophyta, Magnoliopsida, Poales, Poaceae. The record is from RefSeq and is a predicted model, not a curated record.